CUCCAGCUUUGUUCUUUUUUCUCAGGAUUGCUUUAGCAAUUUGGGGUCUUUUGUUGGAUAUGGAUAUACAUUACUGAAACAGUCCCCAUAUUCCUGGAUGUUUUGAUUGUUUCCAACAUUUUGCUAUUAUCCACUGCGCUGCAAUAAACAACCUUGCUUGCUCAUAUCCUCAAUUAUUUCCUCAGGAUGAAAUGCCAAAUAUGUAAUUUCUGGACUGAGAGAAUGUGCCUUUUUAAAUAUUUUAAUACAGAUUACCCAGAUGUACCUGAGAAAGGUUCUACAAAUUUAUGUCUCCGGGAGCAGUGAAUGAAGAGGCCUAGCUUCCCUAGAUCCUUACUGAUAUUAACAUUCUAAUUAAUUUUCAUCAGCCUUAUAUUCUAAAAAAAGUACCUUGUUUUAAUUUGCAUUUCUGAUUACUUUGUAUUCAUCAUAAUUAUUCAUUUUUUGAAUUGUGAUCCAGAAAUAGGGUUUGUAUGGUUUCAGCGUUUUGGAAAUCACUGAGAUGUACUUCAUAUUUUGCAGCUGUGCUGUAAAGGUUAGUCACAGCAGGUCUGCAAUUAACCUGAGCUGUUUGGUUAAAUUAAAGCUCUUGCUUGACACCGACUCCUGGUCAAAGGGUCAAAGCAUGAAAUGUUGAUGUAUAGUGUGUCUAUGUAACCAUGAGUCCAAAGAGUUUCUGGGCAGUUUGACCUAGCUUGUCAGCAUUGUUUAUUAAUAACAAUGAGAUUGAAGAGUUGCACCUGGUCUUGGUGUGAUACUCCCCCGCCCCCGCCCCAGGGUUCUGCUGGUUCUGCAGCAGGGCUAUGCCUAGGUGACUAGCAAAAUAUAAACAACCUCAGCAAAGACUUCGUUUUGGUCUCACUGGUUCUGAAGUGUUCUGUGCACACAUCAGUGGUUCCGGAUCCAUAAGACAUCUGGCCUGGCCCUUACAGAAAGAGGACAAUAGGAGCCUGCACCUGGCCUCUCCAGACCCCUGCUAUUCUUUUCAAGAAGUAGGCAUCGAUGAUAUGCUUUUGCACUCUGGCCUUCUGGAAGAGCAGUUCGCAGCAUGGACUCAGAAGAUGGGAUUGUCUAGGCACCAUCCUGGCUCUUCUGUAAGUUACCUAACUUCUCUGGGCCUCAGUUUUCUCAUCUGUAAAAUGAAGAUAAGAAGAAUUCCUGUCUUACAGGGUUGUUCAUGGAGUGCGUGAGUCAAUAUGUAUAAAGCACUUAGAAAUGUCACACAGUUUUGUGUUUAAUAUUUGUUCGCUAUUAUCAUGAAAGACAAUUUGGCAGAGUGUACGAAUUUUUGGUUACAAUCUUUUUCUCUAAAAAGUCUAGCUGUUGCUCCAUUUUCUUCUGAAAGCGGAUGCUGCAGAGAAGUCUGAAACCAAAGUCACUUUGUGGCCUUACAGCAUAGUGGUGAAGAGCUCUGCUCUGACUGCCUUGGUUUAUAUCCUGGCUCUUCAACCUCGACUAGAUGUGUGACCUUGACCUCUCUAAUCCAUGCUGUCUCAUCAUCUGUAAGGUGGGGCAACUCAUAGACCUCCCUGUCCUGGACCCUUUGCAUUUGUUGGCCAAACCAUCCUUGCUCUCUUUUGUAUGUUUACUUUUUCUCACGCCAACCUUUUAAUUCUGGCGGGACUUCUAAUCAGAGUACCGGCGGCCCCUGGCCAAUUAUCUUACUCCAUCCUCUUGGCCACUGUGAUGGAUCCCAGGGCGAGCACAGGCACAAAAACAACUGGAGCCCUUCUGUGGCGAAACCAGAAGAGAGACUCUCUCUUUCUUCCGCGGUUACUGAGCUAGGAUAACGUGAGCCCUGAGCUGCCUGUGCUGCGUCUGGAGGAAGCCGGUCUGCUACCACGGGGAAUGAAAGAGCUGAGGCAGCUGGAGAGCAAAGGCAUCCCGACAGAAUCGCUUGAGUUCCCGAAUCCGGUCAACGGAAAGGCCAGCACCCCCACUUGAUUGGAAUGCCGUGAGGUCUAAAGGAGAGAAUUCACGUCAAACACCAAGUAGCGUGCCGAACACCAGCGCUGGCAGGUACGCGCUCUACUGCGACUUCUCGGUCACAGACUCGUCGCAAAGCCCGCGGGGAGAGCAACAGCUCUGCAGGAUCCCAGAAACCCCUGCUGCUCAGAACAGGGCGUCGGCCUCGCCUGGGAGCCUGUUGGAAAUGCAGAGUCUCAGGCCCCAUCCUGGACCCACCGCACCCGAAGGAACUUUUUCACAACAUCCCAGGGUGGCGGGGCGGGUGGGGGUUGUGUGCACAUUAACAUUUGAGAAGCUCCGUUCCAGAGCGCAGGCUCAGUUUAACCUUUUUAUUCAUAAUCCAUUUUAAAAAUUUGCCCGCGAAGUCAUUCUUUACAGCAAAAGCUCCCCAGAUCCUCACCAGACCAGAUCAUGUAACGCUCUGACUCUCUUUACUACCCACUUCACUUUCGUGUGCAUUUUCCCCUUAGUAUAAUGGUAUGACCAUAAGGUGGGGGCUCCAUUGCCAGGGCACCCAGGAGUCUUACAUCCACAUUCACACUUUAGUGAAACCUUAAGUGUACUUAAUCUCUCUUGCUGUGUCGUCCCCUUGCCUCGCCUUUGCGAGAAUUAGAAAAGUUGCCACAGUUGUGUCAGCAGCUUCUGUUUUGUUCUUCUCCUCAUAAGAGCUCAAUGGUUUGAAUGCUUUCUCCCGAGUUUGGAAACUUAACUCAGUUUGUUUCUACUCACUAACCUUGGUAUAUUUUCUUUCUCCAAUAUUGGAUCAAUAUUACCCACCCAACAAUAACGAAAUAUUAGUGGCUAACAUUGGUUAUUGCACACCAUUGAUAUGGUUGAUCUCAUAUUAUUCUCACCCUAACUCCGUGAGGUGGGUUCGAAUAUUCCCAUUUUGUGGAUGAGGAAACUCAGUGGGAGUUGCGAUCUUUCUCUUUCUCCUUCGGAGACUUACUAUUCUCAUGGCAAAAUACUAUUUGUACUAUGAUGGGUACAUAGAAGUUCAGUAUACUAUUUUGUCUACUUUUAUUUAUCUUUGAACAUUUCUAUCAGGAAAAGGUUCAUAAAACAAAAGUGCUAUCUGUGAUAGCGGAUGACUGCCCGCUGCAUGGCUCCAGCUCCGGCCUCGGACCUCUCUUCUGAGCUCCCUCCAGAUUCACAUAUCCAGUGACUGUUUUGCCCUCUUCACCCUUGAACAGCUCACGAGCAUCUGAGAGCUAAUGCGCUGAACCUGCACCCCCACUGUUCCCUCCCCGAAGCUCUCCGCUACCCAUCUUUCCCACUGUAAUUAACGCGUCAGCAUAUGCCCUGCACUCAGGAUGGACCCAGGAAUUGUUUGGGGCUGUCCCCUCUCCACUUCCUCCUAUACCCAAUCCACCACCAAGUUCUGCCAGUUGUUACCUCUAGAGCAUGUCCUAACUCCAUUCACUUCUCUGUCUGCAGUGUCAGCCACCACCAUUGUCCAAAUCAUCAUCACCCUUCACACUGCCCUGGCCCCCUCAGUGAGCUUCCCAGUUCUGUUCUUACCCGCUUCAGGGACCAGACAACUCUUUAAAACAUAAAUCACAUCAGCCACCUACUUAGAACCCUUCAAUGAAUUCCCAUGUCCCUUAGAAUAAAAUCCAGACUCCUCCCCCAGUCUUAGGUGGCCUUGUGUGUCUCGCUCUAAUACCUCUUCCAUCACAUCUGGCGCCGCAUUCCCCACCUUCCUCACCUCCGUCCUCUUUCAGUCUCUCUGCUGCCCCACGUGCUCUUAUGCUGCAGGGCUACACACCCCUGCCCGCUCUCUAUUUUUCGGUUUUCUCUUACUCAUCAUUUGUAUCUCCAGCUAUAUAUUCCUUCUUUAGAGAGACUCUCCCCUAACCAGCCAAUCAGAACUGGCUUCUCCUGGGCCAUCUUUAUAGUGCCAGUUUUCAGUUACGGCAACCAUCACAAUUUGUGAUUAUAAGUUAAUUUGCGUUUAAGGGUACAAUGGCUGCCUCUUACACUCUGAGGAUAGAGAAUUCGAAGGCCUUUAGAUCCAGCACCUACCACAGUGACUGGUGCAUAGGUGUUCAUGAAGCAUGUGGUGAAGAAGUGAAUCUCCUUGUCACUUUCAUCUGCAUUCUGGGAAAGCAUCUCAAGGAUGUCUUUCACAGCAGUGCAUAAAUUUUCUACACCAUCCUAUUCUUUACUGAUUGCAUAUGAUUCUAAUUCUGCUGCCUUUGGAAUUUUCUUACAGCCUUUCUCUGAGUCAACUAUCUUCUCAACUUUUGCUCUUCAUCUAUCUAUGACCUUUUGCUUCUCAUGCACAGAGGUUAUGAUUAUUUGCAAUCUUUUGAAGAUGCCAAAUAGUUUGACUUUUUCUUCUGGCUCUGAAAGCAAAUAAUUUUCCAGAAGCAUUUCCCUGCUCUGAGUCUUUCAACUAUUUCUUUUAUCCCAUAGUCUUUGUAGACCCCAAUUUGUUUUUUCUCUUAAUUCAUAUGCAAAUAGUCAGCUCUGGUGGUCUAGUGGUUAAGAUUGGGCGCUCCCACCACCGUAGCCCAGAGUUCAUUUCCUGGUCAGGGAACCACACCACCCAUCUGUCGGCUAUCAUAUUGUUGUGGCUGUGUGUUGCUGUGAUGCUGAAAGCUAUGCAACCAGUAUUUCAAAUACCAGCAGGGCCACCCAUGGUGGACAAGUUUCAAUGGAGCUUCCAGGCUGAGAGAUUAUGAAGAAGGACUUGGCCACCCACUUCUGAAAAAAUUGACCAUGAAAACCCUAUGAAUAGCCAACCAAGGAAAAUCACUACGGUUAAAAUAGCAGGUAUUUAUUUGGGCGAUUAGAAUUGCAAUUUGGGAGACACAGAUUCAGGUAGAAACCCAAAACGUGUUCCAAUUAUAGGAGAGGGGCUUAGGGUUUUUAUGGGAAAAAGUGAGGAUGAAGUGAGUUAUAUUAAAGAAGAGUUCAUUGGUGCUAGAUAAGGUAAGGCUAGAUUUGUACUUCAUUGAU
Non-coding RNA from Equus caballus (horse), 4932 nucleotides. Lineage: Eukaryota; Metazoa; Chordata; Mammalia; Perissodactyla; Equidae. The record is from RefSeq and is a predicted model, not a curated record.